This 248-nucleotide long non-coding RNA is filed under the name Phascolarctos cinereus (koala). RNAcentral describes it as "lncRNA (ENSPCIG00000011415.2)". Lineage: Eukaryota; Metazoa; Chordata; Mammalia; Diprotodontia; Phascolarctidae. The record is from RNAcentral.
AGAAAGGAAAAUAGGCUGAGCAAGGACGGAAAGAAGCGAUGGGGAGGGGAGCAGAGGAAGUUAGGAAGGAUAUGGUACAACACCUAAGAUUACGCCUUUCAUGUCUAGGACAGCUUUGAGAAAAAGGAAUUCCUCACAGCAGGGAUUCUUUACAAAGUAUCAGUACCGAUGAGGUGACUCAGGGAAACCUUCCUAGGGUAAGCUAAAAGACCUUAACCUUUUUUGUAUCAGGGACUCCCUUGGCAAUC